Molecule: long non-coding RNA, 1215 nt
Filed under: Olea europaea subsp. europaea
Lineage: Eukaryota; Viridiplantae; Streptophyta; Magnoliopsida; Lamiales; Oleaceae
Source: RNAcentral
CACCCACUCUUUUCAUUUUCCAAUUUUCUCUCUCAUCUACCUUCUCUCGUCUCUCUUCCUUUUUCUAUCAUCGUCGAAAAUUAUUUCAAUGUUGGCUCUAGUGAGCCCACCUCCAACAUUCGAGCCAGUCAGCUUACCACUGUCGACUGCUCUAGUCCACUAUCCACCGUCUCCAGUUUUCGAGGCAUCAACAUCACCAGAUCUGGCUUCUACGCACCAAAGUGAGACUUCGGCUAAGGCUCUGUCUCAGAGCAAGAGGCACACUUCACCUUCAUAUGCUUUAGCUCCGAAGCUUAUGAGCCCACCCGCAACUCCAACGGAAGCCCCCAAACCUAGGCCGAUUCUAUUCAGUCAGUGGACUUUUACCUAGUUUCAUCAAGAGAGCCACACAGGUGCAAUAUUCAUAUAUAAAUUUUCUAUCUUCCUUAAGAAAAUUAGUCAAGUUUCUGAAUGUUAUCAAAAGAAUUUUUAAUUGAAUGUUGUCAUUAUGUUAAAAUGGCUAUUGUUUCUUUUCUUCUUCUUCUUUUUGGUUAUUGAUAGGUUUGUUUUGUAUCUUACUUCAAAAAUGAUUUACACGAACUUGGAAUAAUUUUUGGGUUUGAUAGAUUGAGAACAAAAAUAAGGAAAUGUAGUCAGUAUUAUUUUUGUGUUUUUGGGUUAUUUGAGAGUGAAGUGGGAAUAAUUAGGAAAUAUGUGCUCAUGUGCUGCAGAUAGUGCUUUCGGAGCAAUGCCAACGAAAUUGGCUUUAUCAAGUGUUGUUGAGCUGUGAAUGUUUGAAUUUCUGCCACUGGAAGGAGGGCUUUCCUUACUGGGAUGUUUUUGGAUCUCUAAAAGCAUAUUUUUUUAUUACAAAAAAAUGGGUUGUAAUUGAUAAAUAUUAUUCUAACCAUCACAAAAAAAAUGGUAUGGCUUACUAUUUUCGGUUAUGGUGAUGAUAAGUUGUGAUGAUGGUCUGUAGUGUGUUCAAUUUAUUUGUAGUGUCCUUCUGUGAUCAAAUCUGUGUUAAUUGUGAUUAGGUAUGACCAAUCUUGUGUUAAUUGUGACUGAAUGUAAUUGUUUACGUUGUGGUGUUAGUCUGUAGCCGGUGUAGAUUUUUCUGUCGUGACCUUCUGUGACCAAGUAUGUAUUAGUUGUGACCAAUUUUGUGUUAAUUGUGAUCAACUAUGACUAUAUGUGUUGUAGUGUUAGUCUGCAGUGUGUGCGAAUUUAUUUGUG